RNAcentral lists this small nuclear RNA (157 nucleotides) under Myotis davidii. RNAcentral's name for it is "U2 spliceosomal RNA". It matches the Rfam family "U2 spliceosomal RNA". Rfam says of the family: U2 is a small nuclear RNA (snRNA) component of the spliceosome (involved in pre-mRNA splicing). Complementary binding between U2 snRNA (in an area lying towards the 5' end but 3' to hairpin I) and the branchpoint sequence (BPS) of the intron results the bulging out of an unpaired adenosine, on the BPS, which initiates a nucleophilic attack at the intronic 5' splice site, thus starting the first of two transesterification reactions that mediate splicing. Lineage: Eukaryota; Metazoa; Chordata; Mammalia; Chiroptera; Vespertilionidae. The record is from Rfam by way of RNAcentral.
AUUGCUUCUCGGCCUUUUGACUAAGAUCAAGUGUACAUAUCUUGUCAGUUUAACAUAUGUCCUCUAUCCAAGGACAACAUAUUAAGUGGUUUUUUAGAGCAGGGAGACGGUGUGUUGACCUGGCAGUACAGUGCCUUUGGAGAACAAUGCUCCCCCC